AGAGUUUGAUCCUGGCUCAGAACGAACGUUGGCGGCGUGGAUUAGGCAUGCAAGUCGAACGAGAACCUUUGGGCAACUGAAGGGGAAAGUGGCGAAAGGGGCAGUAAUGUAUGGGUAACCUACCCCGGGGACCGGGAUAGCCUUCCUAACGGAUGGGUAAUACCGGGCGAUCUGGCGAGGACGCAUGUUCUUGCCAGGAAAUGAGUUUCGCCUCGGGAGGGGCUCAUAUAGUAUUAGCUAGUUGGUGAGGUAACGGCUCACCAAGGCUCAGAUGCUUAGCGGGUGUGAGAGCACGACCCGCGCCACUGGCACUGAGACACUGGCCAGACUCCUACGGGAGGCUGCAGUCGAGGAUCUUCGGCAAUGGGCGCAAGCCUGACCGAGCGACGCCGCGUGUGCGAUGAAGGCCUUCGGGUUGUAAAGCACUGUCGAGGGGGAGGAAAGCCGCAAGGCUUGACCUAUCCCUGGAGGAAGCACGGGCUAAGUUCGUGCCAGCAGCCGCGGUAAGACGAACCGUGCGAACGUUGUUCGGAAUCACUGGGCUUAAAGGGCGCGUAGGCGGUUGAUCAAGUCUGGGGUGAAAUCUUUCGGCUUAACCGGAAAAGUGCCUUGGAUACUGGUCAGCUGGAGGGAGGUAGGGGCAGUUGGAACUUCCAGUGGAGCGGUGAAAUGCGUUGAUAUUGGAAGGAACGCCGGUGGCGAAAGCGAGCUGCUGGACCUCUUCUGACGCUGAUGCGCGAAAGCUAGGGGAGCAAACGGAAUUAGAUACCCCAGUAGUCC
This 780-nucleotide ribosomal RNA is filed under the name uncultured bacterium. RNAcentral's name for it is "bacterial SSU rRNA". It matches the Rfam family "Bacterial small subunit ribosomal RNA", at positions 8 to 796 of the family's 1533-position model. The record is from RNAcentral.